Molecule: ribosomal RNA, 368 nt
Filed under: uncultured bacterium
Lineage: Bacteria
Description: bacterial SSU rRNA
Rfam family: Bacterial small subunit ribosomal RNA
Source: RNAcentral
GAAGGGGGCUAGCGUUGCUCGGAAUCACUGGGCGUAAAGGGUGCGUAGGCGGGUCUUUAAGUCAGGGGUGAAAUCCUGGAGCUCAACUCAGAACUGCCUUUGAUACUGAAGAUCUUGAGUUCGGGAGAGGUGAGUGGAACUGCGAGUGUAGAGGUGAAAUUCGUAGAUAUUCGCAAGAACACCAGUGGCGAAGGCGGCUCACUGGCCCGAUACUGACGCUGAGGCACGAAAGCGUGGGGAGUAAACAGGAUUAGAUACCCUGGUAGUCCACGCCGUAAACGAUGAAUGCCAGCCGUUAGUGGGUUUACUCACUAGUGGCGCAGCUAACGCUUUAAGCAUUCCGCCUGGGGAGUACGGUCGCAAGAUUA